UUGAACGCUGGCGGAAUGCUUUACACAUGCAAGUCGAGCGGCAGCGCGGGGGCAACCCUGGCGGCGAGCGGCGAACGGGUGAGUAAUACAUCGGAACGUACCCAGUUGUGGGGGAUAGCCCGGCGAAAGCCGGAUUAAUACCGCAUAAGUCCUGAGGGAGAAAGCGGGGGAUCGCAAGACCUCGCGCGAUAGGAGCGGCCGAUAUCGGAUUAGCUUGUUGGUGAGGUAAAGGCUCACCAAGGCGACGAUCCGUAGCUGGUCUGAGAGGACGACCAGCCACACUGGAACUGAGACACGGUCCAGACUCCUACGGGAGGCAGCAGUGGGGAAUUUUGGACAAUGGGGGCAACCCUGAUCCAGCCAUUCCGCGUGAGUGAAGAAGGCCUUCGGGUUGUAAAGCUCUUUCAGCAGGAACGAAACGGUGGCUACUAAUACUAGCUACUAAUGACGGUACCUGAAGAAGAAGCACCGGCUAACUACGU
Molecule: ribosomal RNA, 482 nt
Filed under: uncultured bacterium
Lineage: Bacteria
Description: bacterial SSU rRNA
Rfam family: Bacterial small subunit ribosomal RNA
Source: RNAcentral